Molecule: long non-coding RNA, 1920 nt
Filed under: Salmo salar (Atlantic salmon)
Lineage: Eukaryota; Metazoa; Chordata; Actinopteri; Salmoniformes; Salmonidae
Description: lncRNA (ENSSSAG00000082271.1, ENSSSAG00000089319.1)
Source: RNAcentral
ACCUCUACCUCUACCUCCUCUACCUCUACCUCUACCACUACCUCUACCUCCUCUACCUCUACCACUACCUCCUCUACCUCCUCUACCUCUACCUCUACCACUACCUCUACCUCUACCUCUACCUCUACCUCCUCUACCUCUACCUCUUCCUCUACCUCCUCUUAUGCCCUUACAUGUAACAAGCAGAAUCAUAUUUUACAAUACAGUUCAACAACAUGUUUGGAAGUAUUAGGAAAUGAAUGAGUAUAAAUAAAAGUUCUAAGUAAUUAUUAUAUAUUUUGAAGUAUCUUAUAUGAUUUGUGGCAAUGAGAGCGUUAUGAAAAAAACUGGACAUGAAGCUCAGUUAUAAAGUACACAGUACAGGGAGUUUUGGUACAACAAACCAAAAAAUCCCAAAUGUAAUCCAAAUUCAACAUGUAUCAAGGAAAAGUAGCUUCAGGAUUUGGAGAACUACUGAACAUAUUCAACAUGUGGCGCAACGAUCGAAACCGCUAGGCUACCUGCCGCCCACGAUGUCUGAACGUUCAAUAUUACCUGGCACCACAGGCGAGUCAAAUACACAAUACUUUGUAGUAAAAAAAAAACUGUAAUAAAUACAAAACAGAUGAAAAAAAACCACUAAUAAAGACGUAUAAAUAUGGACUGAAAGCCUCAAUUGUAUCGAAAUACCGUAAAUAUACUUUGGCAAAAGCAGUAACAGAAAAAUCACAGUUUCUGGACCCAGAAGCGCAACAUCAGAGACUUCCGGGAACGCUUGUGAAACAGACCAAGAGGACCAGGCCAGGGUUUGGGGGUUUGACAAGUCAAUGAGAGAAGUGAAGAAUUCUUCCUUAGUUGUUAAUUUUCUCCUAAUCUAAAGGCACAACCUAGAUUGGAGCCAAUGUCUUAAAUACUCUCUAUAUACAAAAGUAUGUGGACACCCCUUCAAAUGAGUGGAUUUGGCUAUUUCAGCCACACCUGUUGCUGACAGGUGUAUACAAUCGAGCACACAGACAUGCAAUCUCCAUAGACAAACAUUGGCAGUAGAAUGGCCUUACUGAAGCGCUUAGUGACCUUCAACGUGGCACCAUCAUAGGAUGCCACCUUUCCAACAAGUCAGUUCAUCAAAUUUCUGCCCUGCUAGAGCUGCCCUGCUAGAGCUGCCCUGCUAGAGCUCCCUGCCCGGUCAACUGUAAGUACUGUUAUUAUGAAGUGGAAACGUCUAGGAGUAACAAUGGCUCAGGCGCGAAGUAGAAGCCCAAGGUCACAGAACAGGACUGGGAGUGGAGACAUGUUGGCUGGAGGGGGUUGGGGGGAUGGGAGAGUGGGAGUGGAGACAGGUUGGCUGCAGGGGGUUGGGGGGAUGGGAGAGUGGGAGUGGAGACAGGUUGGCUGGAGGGGGUUGGGGGGAUGGGAGAGUGGGAGUGGAGACAGGUUGGCUGGAGGGGGUUGGGGGAUGGGAGAGUGGGAGUGGAGACAGGUUGGCUGGAGGGGGUUGGGGGGAUGGGAGUGGAGACAGGUUGGCUGGAGGGGGUUGGGGGGGAUGGGAGGUUGGGAGUGGAGACAGGUUGGAUGGAGGGGGUUGGGACCUGAUGACGUGUUCUGCACAUGGGCAGUUCAGGACGAGACAACCGUUAGACCUGAUGAUGUGUUCUGCACAUGGGCAGUUCAGGAUGACCGUUAGACCUGAUGACGUGUUCUGCACAUGGGUAGUUCAGAGCGACCGUUAGACCUGAUGACGUGUUCUGCACAUGGGCAGUUCAGGACGACCGUUAGACCUGAUGACGUGUUCUGCACAUGGGCAGUUCAGAGCGACCGUUAGACCUGAUGACGUGUUCUGCACAUGGGCAGUUCAGGAUGACCGUUAGACCUGAUGAUGUGUUCUGCACAUGGGCAGUUCAGGACAACCGUUAGACCUGAUGACGUGUUCUGCACAUGGGC